Molecule: transfer RNA, 77 nt
Filed under: Lactiplantibacillus plantarum subsp. plantarum
Lineage: Bacteria; Bacillati; Bacillota; Bacilli; Lactobacillales; Lactobacillaceae
Description: Lactobacillus plantarum subsp. plantarum tRNA-Met
Rfam family: tRNA
About the family: Transfer RNA (tRNA) molecules are approximately 80 nucleotides in length. Their secondary structure includes four short double-helical elements and three loops (D, anti-codon, and T loops). Further hydrogen bonds mediate the characteristic L-shaped molecular structure. tRNAs have two regions of fundamental functional importance: the anti-codon, which is responsible for specific mRNA codon recognition, and the 3' end, to which the tRNAs corresponding amino acid is attached (by aminoacyl-tRNA synthetases). tRNAs cope with the degeneracy of the genetic code in two manners: having more than one tRNA (with a specific anti-codon) for a particular amino acid; and 'wobble' base-pairing, i.e. permitting non-standard base-pairing at the 3rd anti-codon position.
Source: RNAcentral
GGACCUUUAGCUCAGUUGGUUAGAGCAGACGGCUCAUAACCGUCCGGUCGUUGGUUCGAGUCCAACAAGGGCCAUCA